RNAcentral lists this ribosomal RNA (374 nucleotides) under uncultured organism. Its description in RNAcentral is "partial 16S ribosomal RNA". It matches the Rfam family "Bacterial small subunit ribosomal RNA", at positions 527 to 896 of the family's 1533-position model. The record is from RNAcentral.
GGAGGGUGCGAGCGUUGUCCGGGAUCACUGGGCGUAAAGGGCGCGUAGGCGGCACAGUAAGUAGGUGGUGAAAUCUCACGGCUCAACCGUGAAACGGCCUCCUAAACUGCUGAGCUCGAGCACGGUAGAGGCAGAUGGAAUUCCCGGUGUAGCGGUGGAAUGCGUAGAUAUCGGGAAGAACACCAGUGGCGAAGGCGGUCUGCUGGGCCGUUGCUGACGCUGAGGCGCGACAGCGUGGGGGGAGCAAACAGGAUUAGAUACCCUGGUAGUCCACGCCGUAAACGAUGGGUACUAGGCGUCGGGGGGGAGCGACCCCUUCGGUGCCGUCGCUAACGCAGUAAGUACCCCGCCUGGGGAGUACGGCCGCAAGGCUG